This is a long non-coding RNA of Amblyraja radiata (thorny skate), 324 nucleotides long. RefSeq lists it as uncharacterized. The record is from RefSeq and is a predicted model, not a curated record. The transcript has 3 exons. Lineage: Eukaryota; Metazoa; Chordata; Chondrichthyes; Rajiformes; Rajidae.
CAAGGCCUAGAUCUGUGUUGUGGGCCCAUUCUAACCUUAUCUUCAAUGUUUUGUAAACAUUUUCUCAUAGACGAAACACCGGAGGGUUUCAACCAUCAGAGGCUGAGAAUUGGACUUCCCCAUUUCAGCCGUGCAGGCAAAUAUCCCCAAACACCAGGGCCAUCUCUUCACCCCGGCCAUUAUGGACCCCGCUAGAUGUAUGGCGUGCUAAUUGCUCCUCUCUCCUCUCCACCCGAAUGAGCGGUUGUAGGUCCCAAAUAAGGAAAGCACCAGGGGCCCUUGGGGAGACUGGAUGGGGGGUAGGUGGGAGGGGGGGGUAGUUUA